Molecule: long non-coding RNA, 1427 nt
Organism: Cygnus atratus (black swan)
Lineage: Eukaryota; Metazoa; Chordata; Aves; Anseriformes; Anatidae
Exons: 2
Source: RefSeq, a predicted model, not a curated record
GUGGCGGCCGUGGCGGCGGUGUGGGGCAGGGCGCUGCGCGCUUCGCCCCGCCGCCUCCUCCUCCUCCUCCUCCUUGCCCUCACCUGGGGAGCCCCCCCCCUCCGUCACGGAGGGGGUUAAGGGGGUGAAAGAGGGGAGAAGUGGAAUAAAAAUGAAGUGGGGCGAUGUUAGGAGGGGGAUCAACCCCGAGGGCAGGCGCCGCCCCGCUCCCUGACCGGGGCGCGGCGAGAGCAGCAGCCGAGGGUAGACCCCCUAAGGACGCGGGAGAGCCGCCCGUCUCUGCAUACACCGCGACCGGCCGGGGGACGGAGAGAGGAGAGGAAAAAGAGAGAAAAAUAAAGCAAAAAAAGCAAAACCUGAAAAAAAACAACCACCCAAAACCUUCUCAAAGAGAGGGAGAAACACCAGCUCCCAGCCACGCAUCCGUGUCCGCUCGCCUCCGGCCCCGCAAAAGGGCUCAGCGCCCCGCACCUCUCCCCGCUGCCCCCGGCUCUGUGCCGCAGAAAUAUCGGGGUCCCCCUCGCCGCAGGUGCCGAGGGGAUGGGGAAGGUGUCCAAAGCCCCCAAAAGUGCCUUUCCCCCCCUGCUCAGCCCCCACGGACGGGGAUGCUCGGAGGCUCGGUCUCAAAAGAUGAGGCUGCGGCAUCCCCGUCGAGGCUGCCGGGGCGAAAUUCGCUCUCCCCGAAGCGGGGACCAGUUGAGGCCGGGGAAGGCUUUGAGGAUGGGGAGAGGAAGCUUUCCCCGGUAAAAGGAGAGCAACAGCCUUCUGGUUCCCAAACAACCCGGCCACCCGGCCCCGAGGAGGUCACCUUUCGGGGACAGAGGGGGAGAAGGUGGGGGUGCAAAAUGUAGGAUAGUCACAGAUUGUUGCUGAUGUUGAAUUUCCUGAGGAAAAAAAAAAAAAAAGGCUUUCCUGUCUCGAAUCUGACAAAGUAAACAGGAUUAAUUCACAUAUGCAGAAAAAAAGCAUUAAUACCGUCCUGACAAAUGCAGAAAUCAGAAGAGAAAGCGGUUUUAGCAGGACCUACGAUAGGAACAGUUUGAACGUAUGAUCGUAAAAAUGAAAAGCCAUUGAUACACGCUUAAAAGCUGCCGUAUACGCUGAUUGCUCAAGCAUUAAUGAAGAAUGCCCCAGAUUAACUAUUUGCUCUUGCAGGGAUGUAGCCAUAUAACUAUCUAUUAGCACCAUUAGAUGCCUUGCUAUUUAUUUGAAAACACCCCUGCGAGGGGGUAGAGGCAGAAGAGGCGAAGGUAGAAAUGGUCUGCAGCUAAUUCUGCUAAAUAAUAUCUGCAAGCCGAGCGCCUCGCGAAGAAGGGGGAGAUUCCCAACUGUCCUUCUCCGAGCCCAGUCACAAUAGAACCGCUCUCUUUGAAAAGUCAGACCGUAUUGGUUUCCCCAAAUAAAUAAACGCAUCCCUCCUGCCAUUU